GACGAACGCUGGCGGCGUGCUUAACACAUGCAAGUCGAGCGGUAAGGCCCUUUCGGGGGUACACGAGCGGCGAACGGGUGAGUAACACGUGGGUGACCUGUCCCUCAGCUCUGGGAUAAGCCUGGGAAACCGGGUCUAAUACUGGAUAUGACUCCAUGACGCAUGUUGUGGGGUGGAAAGCCUUGUGCGGCUGAGGAUGGGCCCGCGGCCUAUCAGCUUGUUGGUGGGGNGAUGGCCUACCAAGGCGACGACGGGUAGCCGGCCUGAGAGGGCGACGGCCACACUGGGACUGAGACACGGCCCAGACUCCUACGGGAGGCAGCAGUGGGGAAUCUUGCGCAAUGGGCGAAAGCCUGACGCAGCGACGCCG
RNAcentral lists this ribosomal RNA (370 nucleotides) under uncultured bacterium. Its description in RNAcentral is "bacterial SSU rRNA". It matches the Rfam family "Bacterial small subunit ribosomal RNA", at positions 28 to 399 of the family's 1533-position model. The record is from RNAcentral.